AGGCUGAAAUUCGCCUUCAUGAAGUCGGAAUUGCUAGUAAUGGCAGGUCAGCAUACUGCCGUGAAUACGUUCCCGGGCCUUGUACACACCGCCCGUCACACCAUGAGAGUUGGGGAUACCCGAAGCCUGUGAGCUAACUUUUAGAGGCAGCAGUCGAAGGUAGAAUCAAUGAUUGGGGUGAAGUCGUAACAAGGUACC
This 198-nucleotide ribosomal RNA is filed under the name uncultured bacterium. RNAcentral's name for it is "partial 16S ribosomal RNA". It matches the Rfam family "Bacterial small subunit ribosomal RNA", at positions 1302 to 1500 of the family's 1533-position model. The record is from RNAcentral.